Morus notabilis is the source of this 496-nucleotide long non-coding RNA. RefSeq lists it as uncharacterized. The transcript is spliced from 2 exons. NCBI's taxonomy places the organism in Eukaryota, Viridiplantae, Streptophyta, Magnoliopsida, Rosales, Moraceae. The record is from RefSeq and is a predicted model, not a curated record.
UAACAUGUAGGGUGUUGUUCGUACCUUGCGGUUAAGAUCUCAAGAUUUUCCUUAUAUAAGACAUUAUUAAGUUCCCGUGGUGACUUCUGAUUGAUUGGCGUGCAGAGAUGCUCUUGAUGCAUUGGGUUUGGUUCGUUAUUGCUGUCGAAGAAUGCUCAUGACCCAUGUUGAUCUCAUUGAGAAGCUUCUGAACUACAACACUCUGGAUAAAAGCGAGGGCAGCUGAGGGAGGGGAGUUUACGGCGUUGCGAGGGACUUCAUUUGGUUGCUUUGUAUGAUAGGUUGGAGUAGUUUGAAUAUGCUUCUGGAUCACUGCCUUUAUGGUUGAACAAUGGGUUAUUACUAGUUCUGAAGACAAUAGUGAUGUACUUCUUUAGAAGAAAGAACUGAUCUUUUUGCCUUUUUACUUAUUGUGGAUUGUUUGUUCCUCAUAUAUGAGCUGCAUGUGAACUAAAUUUACAUAUUUCUGAAUUUGGAUAACCUCCUCAUUGCAAAA